CUACAACCCUCUGCUGCCUGUCCCUCAGCCACUGCCUUAGCCAUUCAACAAUAUUGGAUUCCAAUAUUGUUGAAUGGCUAAGGCAGUGGCUGAGUGACAGGCAGCAGAGGGUUGUAG
Molecule: non-coding RNA, 117 nt
Organism: Pelobates cultripes (western spadefoot toad)
Lineage: Eukaryota; Metazoa; Chordata; Amphibia; Anura; Pelobatidae
Source: the annotation of a GenBank genome assembly